This 708-nucleotide ribosomal RNA is filed under the name Pseudomonadota bacterium. RNAcentral's name for it is "bacterial SSU rRNA". It matches the Rfam family "Bacterial small subunit ribosomal RNA", at positions 28 to 727 of the family's 1533-position model. The record is from RNAcentral. Lineage: Bacteria; Pseudomonadati; Pseudomonadota.
AUUGAACGCUGGCGGAAUGCUUUACACAUGCAAGUCGAACGGCAGCACGGAGAGCUUGCUCUCUGGUGGCGAGUGGCGAACGGGUGAGUAAUAUAUCGGAACGUGUCCAAUAAUGGGGGAUAACGAGUCGAAAGAUUCGCUAAUACCGCAUACGCCCUACGGGGGAAAGCAGGGGAUCGUAAGACCUUGCGUUAAUGGAGCGGCCGAUAUCUGAUUAGCUUGUUGGUGAGGUAAAGGCUCACCAAGGCGACGAUCAGUAGCUGGUUUGAGAGAACGACCAGCCACACUGGAACUGAGACACGGUCCAGACUCCUACGGGAGGCAGCAGUGGGGAAUUUUGGACAAUGGGGGCAACCCUGAUCCAGCCAUUCCGCGUGAGUGAAGAAGGCCUUCGGGUUGUAAAGCUCUUUCGCGAGGGAAGAAAACUUAUGAUCGAAUAAAUCAUGAGGUUGACGGUACCUUGAUAAGAAGCACCGGCUAACUACGUGCCAGCAGCCGCGGUAAUACGUAGGGUGCGAGCGUUAAUCGGAAUUACUGGGCGUAAAGCGUGCGCAGGCGGUUUUGUAAGUCGGAUGUGAAAUCCCCGGGCUCAACCUGGGAACUGCGUUCGAAACUGCAAGGCUAGAGUGUGUCAGAGGGGGGUAGAAUUCCACGUGUAGCAGUGAAAUGCGUAGAGAUGUGGAGGAAUACCAAUGGCGAAGGCAGCCC